This is a long non-coding RNA of Falco peregrinus (peregrine falcon), 7970 nucleotides long. RefSeq lists it as uncharacterized. NCBI's taxonomy places the organism in Eukaryota, Metazoa, Chordata, Aves, Falconiformes, Falconidae. The record is from RefSeq and is a predicted model, not a curated record. The transcript is spliced from 7 exons.
UGAUAAAAACAGGAGAGAAACAAGGAGAUACAGAAGGAAUAUCCAGAAAGUACUUCCACACUGCAAAAGGCUGGCGUAGAAGAAUAAAAGACAAGCAUCGGAGACAGCUGUUCCUCCAGCUUUGGGAAGGAAAGGGUAGCAGCACUUGGUGGCCGCGGCAGUCCUUGGCUGAUGCGCGGGGGGCUGUGCCCCCCAAAAAGGCAGCUCUCCCUGGCCCCAAGGAUGAGCAGCAGCUGGGGACUUCCCCAGCCAAGGACAUGGGGACAGGGCAGCGUUUCUUCUCACAUCUCCUGCCUUCCCAAGAACACGGAAGACCAAAAGUAAGAGUAACUUGAAGAGCUGUUAAUAGAUUGCAUAAACCAACAUGAGCACAAAGAGGAAAGUGAUCACGCUUCAAAUGAAUUAGCGGGUCUUUCUAAGGGGAAAGUUUCUAAUGAGAGGAAAGUUUAUUUUGUUUAUGAGGUUGGGGUUAUAUUGUAUAAAUAAUAUUCACCUUUCUUUUCACAGUAAAAAUUCUCACCUUGCUUGCGACCCCUGAGAUUUUAAUUUAAAAAGUAGUUACCAGACACGGUCCAGAAAUAAACACCCCUGUCUGAGUACACAUUAAUUGCUGGUGUCUGCAGGCGAGUGUCUGCUCCAAGUAUCUCAGCUAAGCUCUCCCUUCUAACGAGACAAAGUUCCCACAAUCCUGGAGAGCUGAGAAAUCCAGCUCUGAACCUGCAGCUCCACCUGACCUCGAGCUGUUAGGCUGGGAAGUGCCCACUUCCACUUCCAUGCUGUUUUGUGAGGUUUGUGCUGAUGCUGCGAUGAAGAAAUGCUGCGAAGGGAUCUGGCAUGCUUCAGUGCCAGGUACAGAACAAACAAACAAACAAAUAAAUAAAUAAAUGCAGUUCUCAUUUGGCACAAACCUCCUAGAAACAUAAAUAAUCAAAACCUGAUUAACAAACUGGUCAGUUUAAAAUGAAAAUAAUGAUCUUCCUUUGCCUUCCUGCUCCCAUCAGGAUGAUCACAAAAGGUUAUCUGUUUUAAUAAAACAAUUACACUCAACAAGCUGGCUUGUUUGCCAAUGGGAGGGUUUAGUUUUUGCAACCAGAGGGCAGCUUCCCGGGACAUCUCACCCCCAAAGGUCCCACCCAGCUGGUGGCCAGGGUGCUUUCGGACAGGUGAGUGCAGGUCCCAGGGCCAGCUCUCAGCCAGAAAAGAAAAGCCCUGGCAGGGCUGGCUGAGCUGCAAUGCCCGGCGCUGUGCGGUGGGUGCACAGGGAAAUGGAUGGGACUGGGGCCUCCCAUCACCCUCCAUCCCUCUCAUGGCCAAAAGUUACUCUGUAGGGGUUCAUCGGAGGUGAGAUGGUUGGGAAACAAAAAGAAGAGAGAAAAAAGCUUCUUAUUUGUUGAGAAUCCUGUUUUGAGCCUGGGUAUCAAGAAAAGCAGCUCUCUUUGUAUGUAACAUGGUACAUUACUGUAUUUUUUUCUCUUUUCUGCCUUGCAUGGUUUGGUUGUUGAGGUUUUUUUAUAUUAUUAUUCAAGGGUCAGGUCAUUGCUUCUGAACCUCUUUCUCAAGAACUGCAAGCAGUUCUGUUUGUAUGUAAUGUGGUACGUUAGCGUAUUUUUUUCCUCUUUUCUGCCUUGCAUAGGUUUUUGUUUUCUUUUCUUUUUUUUUAAUUCGAGGACCAGGUCAUUGCUUCUGAACCUCUCUCUCAAGAACUGACACUUAAAGUGCAAAUGAAGCUAAUGACAAGAGACAAUAUUUUAAUGUUAAUUAGAUAUUUCAUGUGUCUUAGUUCAUCAGAGCAAUAUUGCUCUUUUAUGUAUUACAUGAAAGCAGAGCUUUAGCUUGGAGGAAAACAGGGAACACAGUCAGUCAUAGAAGUAGUAUUCUCGGUUUUGUAAUUAUUAAAAUUAUUGUUACAUUUAGGAAAUCCAGGAAACUUUGAAAAGAAGAUACUUAAUAAUAAUAAUGGAGCUACUGCACUAUAGGAAGCCCUGGCAAAGCCUUUACAUCUUUUUCCUCGUACAUGAGCUGGCAUUGUAAAAGCCGUAGCCUUCCAAGCUCUUGCUAGGAGAGCAGACGGGUUUUCUGCAGAAUUAUAUUGCUAUAUAAUGCAGAAACCAGGUCUUUCUUUACCUACAUUCCCCCCUACUUCCUUUCCUACGACAUAUUACCUUUUUAAUUGUUAUGUUAAAACAACAAUGUGAGCUGCUAACACUGUGCAUCCCGGUGAAAUGGCCUAAUGAUGAUGUUCACCAGAACUAGGUACAUAAUGUACAAUAUUUUCUGUGAAUGUUUGCAUUCCUUGUGGCUUGGUUGCUGCUCCUUUUGUGUUCUUUCAGUGGUGAUUUGAGAAGUUGCAUUUCACUGCCAGGAAGUAUUUAUACAAAGCAAAUUUCAAAGUUGUGCACAUAUUUGAGGAAAAUGAAAUUUAAGGCCCUGUCACAGCAAUGAGCUCCUUCCAGAGAGACCUCAUGUGUGGACCCUGAACGCAGAAAACGCCUGGAGAAGGUCACUGCCUUGGCGGGAUCUGCAUUCAAACCCCCUUCCAUGAUGUCGGGGCUGCAGACACUCUCUAAUGCAGUGGUAUUAAGACAUCGUAAUCUGUGCACUGCUACGAGACCAGCAGCUGAACAGUGAUAUCAGAAAUCAGGAAGGUAAACAACUCUGGGCAAACUGUGCUCUGUUGUGGGAACUUCUCAGUCAGCAAAGACAAGAAAAUGCUUACAGAAAACAUCCAGCUCUUCAUGUUCCUGUGAUAUAUGUGCUGUUUGUGUGAAGCUCCUGCUCUACUGGGUUUGUCGCUGGCACAUCAGCAUGGCAGAGCAGCAGGCACAGGCACCCUUCAGCAGCGAGGAACAGGUCUGGACAUCCAGUCACCGCUUCUGGGUUUCUCUCUGCUUGCUGAGAGUUGGUUGAAAUAAUAUACGGUGGUGUGAAACAAAGCCGACUUGGAGAUCCUGUCUUCCCCAGCUGAAGAAACUCCUCGUAGCACCGUUCUGACCAUGGGUAUCUGCCUCCUAAAAAAAAGAUGCUUACACCCACCUCCCCGAAUGGUAUCACGGGGCGUUCACACAUACCUGAUGCAGGUGUGUGAAGAUGAGGAUGCAAAUGGAGCACUGUGACCCCCGAGUCACCCACCCAGCUCAGCUCCUGCUGCAAAGCCCGCCGGACCCAACUGCUACGUGCACUUUACAGCCAGACAACCCAACAAAUGGAACCCAAACCUCUUCAGCACUGGCAACCUGGCACGUGACAUUCUGAAGCACUCAGCGGCACAAGCAUGACUACAUGGUUUGCCUCUGAUGGUUUUUAACCUAAUAAGUGCCAAUGUAUGAAAGAAAAUCUAAACUAAGUUUUUCCCACAGCUUAGUUUAACAUGACUGGAAAGCAAGCCCGAUGGAUGUCCUCUGUGCAGUGUCACUCCUGUCCUCCUGCCGUUGCUUUCCCAGUGUCUCCUGCAGAGGUUUGCCAUCCCCCUGUCCACAAGGCCACAAGGUCAGUGCUGAAGGCUGAAUUCAGGUAACCUAAGCAAUAUCAUCCCUUGAAAAUAAACCUAAGGUUUAAUUAUAUAUUGUAUUAAUUACUCUUCAGAAAGCAAAACCUUCAAUACUAUUUUAAUUCCUUCUACUAGUAAUUAAGCUCUUUCAACCUAAUAAGAACAUAGAGAUUGACUUUUUAAACUCCAGUGGAGUACAGAGUAUUAGAAAAAGGCCUUGCAGAUGAAUUAAUUGACAACUGCCAGGCAAAGAGAUGCCAGCUUUGGCAGACAAUGCUUAAUAUUUCAGCCCAGCGUAGGCUGACCGUAGGGCUUGGCCAGCUGGUUCAAGUCCCUUGCAGUCUGGGGCAUCUCUCACUCUGCUGAACAACAGAUCUGUUGUUAGAAGUUAAUCCCUUAGUAAAGGAAUAUUUUUUAUAGCUAAGAAUCUGAGGUCCUGAUAACUCUCACCAAGUUUAAUACAAAAGAAAUUUAAUCUGCUGGUUAUGACUUCUUUUAUUAAUAUCCUGCCAUUUGAUUUAGACCGUGACGUGGAGAGAACACAUAGUUUUGCAGUUAAAAGGAAAAAAAAAAUGCCUGGCUUUAGAAGCUGAAAAUUACCAUCUUAUCAGAAGUUUCUGGGCACGCACAUCAAAAGUUCUCAGGACAGAUGGGUGGAAGAAUGGGUGGCUGCAUGGAUCCAUGGAUAGUGAAGAGACCAGAAGUCCCAGAAGGAUGCACUGUCAUUCUCUGCAACUCAUCAGAUCAGUCACAUUUUUAUAUAUUUCCUUUGCAAUGUCCAUUUUACCAGGCAGAAGACAAAUUUCAGUCGACCCUAGAUAGGCUCUUCAGCAUCCUGUUGCAAUGUGACAUAUGAAUGGUGCUGGUUACCUGCAAAGGAACUAAUGAGGUAAUUUCUGAACAAUACUCUUCUGAAGGAUCAUUAAAUGACGGUGAGUACCUUCAUGUGAUAGUUUGUCCCUCAUUCAUGUAGCAGUGCAGUUUACUGGUGUAGGUUGUCACAAUUUAGAUGUGGUAAUUAAAUGUUCAGUUUGACACCUAAGAUUUCUGAAGGAAAAUAUUUUUAACAAAAUGAAAUACUGUUCAAGAUUUACUCAUGUUUUGUCUAUAUGCCAUAGAAUCUCGACCAUUUAGAUGCCAUUAGUUCCUCUGCUGCCUGGCUAGCCACUGUUGCCUUUGGUGAUCCAGCUCGUCUAAACGCUACAGUGGUGGCAGUGCUCUUUGUGAUGGUUAUGUGAACGAGAGAUUACAAGUCUUUAAACACAACAUGUGAACUUCCAAGAUUUACAGAAAAGUCCUUGUAAAGAAAGAGAAAUGGAUUCAGCUGACCUCCAAGGGACCAGUUACCUGUACAGUGAUGCUGCUGCAAGGAAUCGAGACCCAGUUACAUGGCUAUGCAGGUAGAGGACGGAGUCAGCCUGAUCUCUGCAGGAGUCAGACUUUAAAGGCUGGCCAGACCCUUGGGAGCCAUGUGAGCCCUAAAGAACACAGCUCCAGGAGGAGAGGAUGCCCAUGAAGCUGGUGACAGCCCUAGUGUUUCCCUCCUGCCCCACGGUGAGCAAAGAGUGUUGCAAGACAGGCCAACUGAACGACAAACUUUCAAGUCCAGCAGCACAGACAUAGCACGGCGGGGCAGUGAAGAGCCUGUGAGUUUGUCCAAAAGACACAGCCUGGAAGGAGGCUGAUAUACCGAUGUACGAAAUUAUUUCCUCUUCCCUGUGGUAAGGUGGUGCCUGGUAAAGUGCAGGUUGGCCCUUUGGGCUGGAGGGGGUGAAGCCAACCUGCUGAGCUACCCCAGCAGCCGGGAGAUCAAUGCAUCUCUGAAUUACAGGCACGGCUUUUCUAGAUUAGAAACACAGGAUAUCUGGUUUUCUACUUGCACACCCAUAUGGUAAAUAAUAUGAUAUAUAUAUAAGAGGCAGGUGACAAUGUUACAUGUGUAGGUGAAAAGCAUUAAUAAAGCAGCAGCCCCGAGUCUCGUCGUUUCCCGUAGGCACGGUGUAUUUUUCAGGGAGCGGAGCAUUGCACUGCAGUGCAUUACCCCUGCCCUCUUACAUCCUGUAUUCUAUCUGCCUGCCAUGCCCGACAGGGCACCCCGCCGUGUAUCUCUCAAUUGCUUCUCAUGAGUAAGGACAUUAUUUUUGAUCCAAACUAAUAUGUAAUUAUCUAUUUCAGAAUGUUUUAUUAGGAAUUAGGACCCUUUUUAUAUUUUAACCAAACAUAUUCAUUUCACAGCAUGUUAAAAAUCAUUUUCUCUCUCCUAACUGUGUUUAUCCUUUCUCCGUAAUAUUUCACAGCUGAAGUCCUUUUCUAAGAGAGCUUGAAAAAUAUUAUCUGGUUUUAUUUUUUUUAAAUUGAGCAUAUAUGGACAAAAUCUGUCCUCUCCUUUUUUGUCCUUAGCAUUCUAAAAUGUACCUGUGUUCAAAUAUUAAGAAAUAAAACAAAUAUAAAUUAUGCAUUUUCCAAGUUAAUUUAAAAUGCAUUAUGCACUGCUUUGUUCUCUGGAAUUAGUAUUAUUAAGGGGACAGAUCUGUAUGGAUUAAUUUUGAGUCAGUUUAUUCACUUCUUUGUAAUUCAGUGGCAAGGAUUUCUGUCCCCAGGCAUCAAAUUAAAAUUUUUACUGUAAGUAACACAUACACAAUAUAGAGCUUUUUGUAUUGUUUCUUUGUUUUUCUAUCAGACAGCGUAUUUACAUAUUGUAUUAUUUCACAAAACCACCUCUUUAAAAGUAAACAAAACUUCCCCCCCCCCCCCGAAAAUUAUUUUAAUGUUCCCAUUGUCACUGUACCCAACUGGCACCUAGUUCUAGUUCCAAGGGGUUUUUCCCUUUCCACCAAUAAUCACAUAAUAUUUAGCUGUGUCUUCCCCGAGUUCUAUCACAAGCUGAAUAACCAUCCAACCUCUCUUUCCGUCCAAAUAUUUUUGGUGGUAUUUGAGCUGCUUUUCUAUGAUUAUUUUUUAAAAAACAAGCUAUUCAAUAAUCAUUUAAAAGUAUUGGUUUAUUGUAAUAAUUCUUUGCACUUCCACGUUUUAAAUCUUUAUUUUUCCCUAAACUGAGCAAGAAAAUAGAGUCUGCUUUCUUAAUUAGUCUUCUUUAAACAAAAUAUCCUUUCAUAUGCACUAAUAAAGACUAAGGAUCAUUUCUCUCUUGUUUAAAUAACUGCUUGCUGUAGUAUAAAAUUGUAAGAGACAUGAUGCAGAUCAAGAUGCUGGCUUGAAGUGGAGAAGAGGAACAAGCAGUGCAAUAAUAAGCAGAUUUUAAUGAUUUACUAUAAAUCAGCAUUUUUGCCCUGUCAGUGAGAUUGAAGAGGCAGACAGCUCCUCACAUGUCUGCCUAGCAAAUGUCUUCCUGAUGAAUCAUGUGCUCUGAAUCACUGAUCACAACAUUCAAACAGCACAUCCAAAUAAUGAGGAAAACAUAUACACAGCAUUCUUAUGGCUAGUCUAAAACUGCAGGAAUAUGUGUUUUUAGUGGUGUGGUAGUUAAACCCCUACAUUGAUACUGUGUCUGUUCAGCAGAGGGAAAUAUAAGGUUAACUAUUGAUGCCCUAGCUUUGCUUGCACUUGUUAAACCAACAGUGAAAAUCUAAUCUUUAGGUACUCUGCAGGAGAAAAGAAGGCAAAACUAGACAACAAUGUGUAUUUUUAAGUAUUUGCCAACAGAGAAAUGCAUCAACUACUUAUUGAGAGAAACAUCAUUGCCAUUAAUUAGCAAACUACCAAGGCUAUUGUUUUAUAUACAGGGUAGGUCAGAUGACCAUUAUUAAUAAUUUCAGUUGGUCACUAAGAUAACAGUGGUUAUAAAACGUUAUGUAUUCUAUGCCAUAAUACAUACUGAUCCUCCUUGCAAUCCUGUCAAAGGUUACAGGUAACUACAUAAUUGUCAUUAAAAUCACCUGCAGGGGUGGGGUGUCACUGACUCAAGUUCUCCGCAGCAAACCUCACAGGCAUUUAAGGAUGCCUUGGAUACAGUGAAGACUCUGUGGGGGUGAAUGGGAUGAAGUGCAGCCCCAAAAGCUCUGGGAGAAUUAAGGAACGAACUGCGGAGUGGGGUCUAGUCACAGCCUUCACAGGCAACACUCCCACGAGGAGCAGCGGGGCUUAGAGGUGUUAGACAAAACUUCCCUGAGUAAAUAUAGGAGCUGACCUACCUCUCUCCUCCUUGGAUUCAAGAAGGCUGAUAAUUUGCCCAGCAGUGAUAACUGUGGUAAUUGUUGUCCUCGAUGGCAGGAGAUGUUCUGGCGAGGCUUCCACACUGCUGCAGCGGAGUGAGGGUAAGCCCAUUCACAGGUCGGCACGGAGGACCUCAUCCUGCAGCUCGCUAUCUUGGCUGUUUGUGGAUAAUAUCAGGACUUGACUUUGGCUUCCAGCAGUCUCUGUCCUUUAACCUUUUAUUAACAACAUCAUUUAUUCAGCAAACAGUUAUGAAAGAAAUAACUUUGUGUUAGUAGGAACCUUGGAUUUAGAGACUUAAAAAAAAAAA